Molecule: transfer RNA, 90 nt
Filed under: Pseudomonas sp. FeN3W
Lineage: Bacteria; Pseudomonadati; Pseudomonadota; Gammaproteobacteria; Pseudomonadales; Pseudomonadaceae
Description: tRNA-Ser
Rfam family: tRNA
About the family: Transfer RNA (tRNA) molecules are approximately 80 nucleotides in length. Their secondary structure includes four short double-helical elements and three loops (D, anti-codon, and T loops).
Source: RNAcentral
GGAUAGGUGGCCGAGUGGCUGAAGGUUGCGGUCUUGAAAACCGUCGAAGGGGAAACUCUUCCGUGAGUUCGAAUCUCACCCUAUCCGCCA